Molecule: ribosomal RNA, 254 nt
Filed under: uncultured bacterium
Lineage: Bacteria
Description: partial 16S ribosomal RNA
Rfam family: Bacterial small subunit ribosomal RNA
Source: RNAcentral
CUUUCUUUGCUGGCGACCGGCGCACGGGUGAGUAACACGUAUCCAACCUGCCCUUUACUCGGGGAUAGCCUUUCGAAAGAAAGAUUAAUACCCGAUGGCAUAAUGAUUCCGCAUGGUUUCAUUAUUAAAGGAUUCCGGUAAAGGAUGGGGAUGCGUUCCAUUAGGUUGUUGGUGGGGUAACGGCCCACCAAGCCUUCGAUGGAUAGGGGUUCUGAGAGGAAGGUCCCCCACAUUGGAACUGAGACACGGUCCAA